Molecule: ribosomal RNA, 649 nt
Filed under: uncultured Planctomycetota bacterium
Lineage: Bacteria; Pseudomonadati; Planctomycetota
Description: bacterial SSU rRNA
Rfam family: Bacterial small subunit ribosomal RNA
Source: RNAcentral
AGAGUUUGAUCCUGGCUCAGAAUGAACGUUGGCGGCGUGGAUUAGGCAUGCAAGUCGAGCGAGAACCAGUUCUUCGGAAUUGGGGAAAGCGGCAAACGGGGUAGUGAUGCGUCGGUACGUGCCCUCAGGUCGGGGAUAGCCAGAGGAAACUCUGAUUAAUACCCGAUGAUCUCGAGAGAGCAAAGGUCCGCUGCCGGAGGAGCGGCCGACGUGGUAUCAGGUUGUUGGUGGGGUAAUGGCCCACCAAGCCUUAGACGCCUAGGGGGCGUGAGAGCGUGGCCCCCACCACUGGGACUGAGAUACUGCCCAGACACCUACGGGUGGCUGCAGUCGAGAAUCUUCCGCAAUGGGCGAAAGCCUGACGGAGCGACGCCGCGUGCGGGAUGAAGGCCCUUGGGUUGUAAACCGCUGUCAGGGGGGAUGAAAGCCGCAAGGCUUGACAGAGCCCCAGAGGAAGCACGGGCUAAGUUCGUGCCAGCAGCCGCGGUAAGACGAACUGUGCGAACGUUAUUCGGAAUCACUGGGCUUACAGGGUGCGUANGCGGCUUGAAAAGUANGGUGUGAAAUCCCCCGGCCCAACCGGGGAACUGCGCUCUAAACUAUCANGCUUGANUAAGCUAGGGGUGCACGGAACUUCCAGUGGAGCGGU